UAUCUCUGUAGAGUCUGCAUAUCAAUAAGCGGAGGAAAAGAAACUAACUAGGAUUCCCUUAGUAACGGCGAGUGAAGCGGGAAGAGCUCAAAUUUGAAAUCUUCAAGGUUCUACCUUGACGAAUUGUAGUUUAAAGAAGUGUUUUCUGUUAGAGUUUGAGUAGCAAAAGUUCCUUGGAAUAGGACAUCAUAGAGGGUGAGAAUCCCGUAUUUGACCAUUAUUUCCAGCUUUGUGAUACACUUUCAAAGAGUCGGAUUGUUUGGGAAUGCAGUCCAAAAUGGGUGGUAAAUUUCAUCUAAAGCUAAAUACUGGCGAGAGACCGAUAGCGAACAAGUACCGUGAGGGAAAGAUGAAAAGAACUUUGAAAAGAGAGUUAAACAGUACGUGAAAUUGUCAAAAGGGAAGCGUUUGACACCAGUGUUGUUUUCUCGAAAAUCAAUUAAAAAAUGGCAUGAUUUUGUGUUGUAUUGACCUUUAUCAAGCUUUCUUCACUCUUUUUCAUUGUCUUUUUUAAUGCACUUUUCGUUUAACAAGUCAACAUCAGUUUCUUUUGUUGUAAAAGGGUCAUUGGAAGGUGGCUUUCUUUUCGGAGAAAGUGUUUAUAGCCUUUGCCUCUGCAAUCGGAGAGAUUGAGGUCUGCAGCGUAGAUCCUUCUGGAUUAGAUACAUUUGUGCUAAGUUAUAACCGUUUCAUAGACAACUUGUUGACUAUGAUCGAUCAUGUAGCUUACUCGCUUAUGCUAUUUUACCUACGCUUAGGAUGUUGAAGAUGUAGCACAUCAU
This 782-nucleotide ribosomal RNA is filed under the name uncultured Neocallimastigales. RNAcentral describes it as "partial large subunit ribosomal RNA". It matches the Rfam family "Eukaryotic large subunit ribosomal RNA", at positions 24 to 635 of the family's 3401-position model. The record is from RNAcentral. Lineage: Eukaryota; Fungi; Neocallimastigomycota; Neocallimastigomycetes; Neocallimastigales.